UCCUUCGCUUGUUUUCAUUACUGAGGAUAGGACCCAGAAGUGCUCCACCAUUACCACUAACACUUGAUUUUUAUUUAAGGGUAGGACCUGGGUUAGUUGCCCAGCCUGGGCUCAAAUUUAGGAUUCUUAUGCCUCAGUCUCCUGAAUAAAUGGAAAUAAGUUUGCCCCACAGACCUCUGCCAAAUUUUGAGUUUUACUUGUUUUGGGAAAAAUUUGUAUUUUACUGUUUUUGGGCAAUGUGCCACUCCACAUUCUCUCUUGAUGGUGGGCACAGGCCUGGUGUUCCUUCAGGAGAAGAACCCUUAAUCUAGAAUGCUUUGUUGCUAAAUUGUAUUACUUGGUGAGAUGUUUUAUAUUUUAACUUACAGUAGGUUGUCUGUCUAUUGCUAGAAGUAUAUAGCACAUGUUAAACUUUUUAAUUCUGGAAAUGGUGAACAAUAAAUUGUACAGUUCUGUAGUGAAAUGAAUGUGAGAGAAACAGAAACCCCAGAAAAAAUGACUCACCAAUCCCAGCAGAAGAUCCAGAAAUAAUCCAGUCAUAGAGGCAGUGUGCUAUUUGCUGUAUGUGGACAGAGAUUCUGAACAUCCUCAACCCUAUAUAGAGACUUCACCUUUGGAGAUCCGCAGUAGAGUGGAAUUCAAACUUUGCCCAAUUAUGGAGUCAGCUGUGCACAUCCAGAAGGACAGCAGGUAUAAAGACAGCUACAUGGACUUUUCAUCAAAAGGUAUUAGGUCAGAUGAUGGAUACACAGGAACAAUGGGGUCAACUGCAUACUACAUAUGGGAGAUUGCAGCCACGUGGCGAGUCUAUGGAGUCAUAAUCUUUCUUCUACCAGGAAACAGAACCCCUUGGAUGUGACCAAUGCAGGUGAAGCCCAACACUCUCUCACUGCAAUAUGCAGUAUGGGAUUCUACAAUGAGAUGUAAAGUGUGGGAGAUGAAGGAGUAAGGAGGUAGAGUCAACCUGGAGUUAAUGUUGUGCAGGUCCUUCUUCCAUUGCUAGGAGAAUACUUCACAAAACAUUAAAAUACUGGCAGUGACUAGUUAAAAUGGGCCUGGUAUCCAUCAGGAUGGACAGAGCCAAAUGCAUUGGAGACAACUCAGUCUAACUUCCUGGGAAAACAGCAUUCUCAUCACUCUUCACCUCUCUCCAUUUGCACCAUUUGGAGGUCAUCAGCUUAUGUUUUGUGGGCUGUGAGCAGAGGAACUGUUGGUUACUAUGGUAUUAAGUGGUUCAAGAGUUUGGGAAAUGAUUUAUCUUCUCUUAAGGCCUCAUCCAAGUGACAGCAUUCACACUUUAUCUCCAUUCUCCUUUCUUUUUUAGAUAGAUAAAAUGCCAGAGAAAUGAACAGUUUUUACCUCUGUGAAAAUUUUGCUGUGAUUUCCUCUGGUGCUGGGAGACACGCCAGCAGCCCACUGUGUCAAAAAAAAAAAAAAAAAACCACACAAAGUCAUCCUCUGAAGGAGAGGCCUCACACUACCUCCUGAACACUUGGAGACCAAACGGGAGGUGUGAUAAACAUCAGGGAGCAAUAUGGGUAUGGCCUUGAUGCUUUCUGUAGCUUGAAGGACUGGAGAAGACCAACAACUGGAACAGCAUUCAAGUAAUGAUCCUCAGUGGAAAUAAUAAUCAUUGUGAAUAAUCAGUGAUACUUUCUUUUUUUUUUUUUUUAUUUAAGAGGAAAAAGAGAAAAACACAAAACAAACCAAAGCGGCGUAAGGGUACACGCAAUACAGAACUACAAAACAAAACAAAACAAAACAAAACAAAACAAAAAACCAUAACAGUAAGAAAUUACCUGCUAGUAGAUUACACACUAUUUUCUUGAAAAUAGUUCCUCAAAUCACAGUAUCAAAGAACACAAGGUGGACAUUCAAACAGGGAGACUGCAAACAGCUGUGUUCAAUGUUCCAAAAACAUUGAUAAAGUCAGCUAUUUAACACCCCCAAACACACUUGCUGUUAUAUCCGUUAGAGCUCCUUUUCUUUUUUUUUUUUUCCCUCUCUUUUUUACAACAAAAUUUACACAUCUUGGAUUUUAUUACUCCUUAGUGCUUAUUACUUUCUUUGGGGGGGUAAACAGAACUGGCUUGUAAAGGAAAACAGAACUGGCUUGUAAAGGAAAGCUUCUUAGGUAUCAAAGACUGAUGGUAACUGCUGCAAAGGACUCUCCUAAAAUCCUAUUUAUUCUGAGUCUAUUUUAUUCCUCAAUUAACAAACCUGCCGUUAAAUAAUCUGGAUCUUGGUAUUCACUGCAAGAAAAACCUUAUUCUAGGGGUAAAGGGCUAAAUCAGGGCCCACCAUCAUAAUGCAGAGAAUUCGUCUGCAAGUGUAAAUGGAGAAGGCGAUGACCUGGCAUCACUGCUUAGCUGUUCAGUGGGCCUUCAUUAGGGCCCAGAGACUGCCAUGCUGCAGCACAAGGUCCGCAGACACUGUGGCCUAAGUGUUGAGACCCUCAGAGCUCCUCAGGAUGGAACGGGAAUGGAGUGCAGGUAAUUUUAUCACAAGGGCUUCAGUCUUUUUCUCUUAGUUUCUGGAUGAUUGCCACAGUCUUAUAAGUUCAACAGCUUCUCAAAGAUGAUUAGAAACAGCAGGAGUGAGGCAGCAUACACAUUGUCCUUCACUAUGUAAGCAACCCCUCAUAAACUCAGUCACUAAGUUGUAGUUGUCUGUGUCAUGCUGUGUGCCUUCUCAGUUUGGAGGCAAAUGUUUCUUUUAUAUCUUUCUAUCAA
This is a long non-coding RNA of Cavia porcellus (domestic guinea pig), 2732 nucleotides long. RefSeq lists it as uncharacterized. The transcript is spliced from 3 exons. The record is from RefSeq and is a predicted model, not a curated record. Lineage: Eukaryota; Metazoa; Chordata; Mammalia; Rodentia; Caviidae.